Molecule: ribosomal RNA, 253 nt
Filed under: uncultured bacterium
Lineage: Bacteria
Description: partial 16S ribosomal RNA
Rfam family: Bacterial small subunit ribosomal RNA
Source: RNAcentral
CGGAGGGUGCAAGCGUUAUCCGGAUUUAUUGGGUUUAAAGGGUCCGUAGGCGGAUCUGUAAGUCAGUGGUGAAAUCUCACAGCUUAACUGUGAAACUGCCAUUGAUACUGCAGGUCUUGAGUAAAGUAGAAGUGGCUGGAAUAAGUAGUGUAGCGGUGAAAUGCAUAGAUAUUACUUAGAACACCAAUUGCGAAGGCAGGUCACUAUGUUUUAACUGACGCUGAUGGACGAAAGCGUGGGAGCGAACAGGAUU